UGGGCCGUAGCCAAGCGGUAAGGCAACGGGUUUUGGUCUCGUCAUGCGAAGGUUCGAAUCCUUCCGGCCCAG
Molecule: transfer RNA, 72 nt
Filed under: Salinicoccus kekensis
Lineage: Bacteria; Bacillati; Bacillota; Bacilli; Caryophanales; Staphylococcaceae
Also listed under: 1 other name
Description: tRNA_Gln_TTG
Rfam family: tRNA
About the family: Transfer RNA (tRNA) molecules are approximately 80 nucleotides in length.
Source: RNAcentral